Molecule: ribosomal RNA, 660 nt
Filed under: bacterium LB-29
Lineage: Bacteria
Description: bacterial SSU rRNA
Rfam family: Bacterial small subunit ribosomal RNA
Source: RNAcentral
GUACCCUGGUAGUCCACGCCGUAAACGAUGUCGACUUGGAGGUUGUGCCCUUGAGGCGUGGCUUCCGGAGCUAACGCGUUAAGUCGACCGCCUGGGGAGUACGGCCGCAAGGUUAAAACUCAAAUGAAUUGACGGGGGCCCGCACAAGCGGUGGAGCAUGUGGUUUAAUUCGAUGCAACGCGAAGAACCUUACCUACUCUUGACAUCCAGAGAAUUUAGCAGAGAUGCUUUGGUGCCUUCGGGAACUCUGAGACAGGUGCUGCAUGGCUGUCGUCAGCUCGUGUUGUGAAAUGUUGGGUUAAGUCCCGCAACGAGCGCAACCCUUAUCCUUUGUUGCCAGCGGUUCGGCCGGGAACUCAAAGGAGACUGCCAGUGAUAAACUGGAGGAAGGUGGGGAUGACGUCAAGUCAUCAUGGCCCUUACGAGUAGGGCUACACACGUGCUACAAUGGCAUAUACAAAGAGAAGCGACCUCGCGAGAGCAAGCGGACCUCAUAAAGUAUGUCGUAGUCCGGAUUGGAGUCUGCAACUCGACUCCAUGAAGUCGGAAUCGCUAGUAAUCGUAGAUCAGAAUGCUACGGUGAAUACGUUCCCGGGCCUUGUACACACCGCCCGUCACACCAUGGGAGUGGGUUGCAAAAGAAGUAGGUAGCUUAACCUU